AUUGAACGCUGGCGGCAUGCCUUACACAUGCAAGUCGAACGGUAACGGGCCUUCGGGUGCCGACGAGUGGCGAACGGGUGAGUAAUACAUCGGAACGUGCCCGAUCGUGGGGAUAACGAGGCGAAAGCUUUGCUAAUACCGCAUACGAUCUACGGAUGAAAGCAGGGGACCGCAAGGCCUUGCGCGGACGGAGCGGCCGAUGGCAGAUUAGGUAGUUGGUGGGAUAAAAGCUUACCAAGCCGACGAUCUGUAGCUGGUCUGAGAGGGUGAUCAGCCACACUGGGACUGAGACACGGCCCAGACUCCUACGGGAGGCAGCAGUGGGGAAUUUUGGACAAUGGGCGCAAGCCUGAUCCAGCCAUGCCGCGUGCAGGAUGAAGGCCUUCGGGUUGUAAACUGCUUUUGUACGGAACGAAAAGCCUUCUUUUAAUACAGGAGGGUCAUGACGGUACCGUAAGAAUAAGCACCGGCUAACUACGUG
Molecule: ribosomal RNA, 481 nt
Filed under: uncultured bacterium
Lineage: Bacteria
Description: partial 16S ribosomal RNA
Rfam family: Bacterial small subunit ribosomal RNA
Source: RNAcentral